AGGUUGAAAAUUGAAACUAACAUUUGCAGCGACAUAACAUCUUACCGACGGUGCAUCCAAAGACUGAUUAAUUUCAAAAUCGUCAAGCUGUAGUCUAAAGCUGCGGCCAAUAGGGAAUGGAAUACGAGACACCAGGCCACACAUCCAGCAAUCCAAGGCCGAUCCUCAGCACUGGACUGACGGUAGUCAUGAGUAUCAUUCGUAAACAAUAUCGAGAUUGUGGUGAAAUAAAGAUCAGCGUUGGCACAUGUAACCGGCACUCUGGUUUGAGAAAGAACUAAAAGAGCGUCAACAGUUUCAUCAAAUGUAACCCCACGCAGUGCAUCCCCACUCGACAAAUUUGUAUAUUGCAGUCUUCUUUGUGUCAAUACAUAGCAUUCAAAACGGAUAUGUAUGAUGCUGAUGCCUUUAUAAUCUAAAAAGGUACAAGGAAUUAAAUUAAAUUUACAAGUUAUAUUUAUCCAUAAAAGCAUGCGGCAAAUCCAAAAUUAAAUAGGUAUAAAGCAAACUUGUCUGUUAAUAAGUAAGUACUCAAAAGAUUUAAAAGAUUACACUUGUAAAAGUUUCGAAUGACAUAUCCAUCAUUUUGCCUGCCGUAAUCGUCAAUCGCUUCUGACAUCUCAUUAUUAUGAAUAUUAUAAUUUUACUUUGACUUGACAGCAUGUCAUACCACAUCAUUUCGUAUAUAGCAUUAGCAAUUAAUUUACCCUAAAAAAAAUACAUAGUGUCAAAUGCAGCGGCUUCAUUAAAGUUUAUUCUUACUUUUCAAUUUUAUUUCACAAAGGUAAAGUUUCUGUCAAACAUUAUUCAAAAUAUUAAGUAUGUCAACAUUGGAAAGACAU
Molecule: long non-coding RNA, 842 nt
Organism: Vollenhovia emeryi
Lineage: Eukaryota; Metazoa; Arthropoda; Insecta; Hymenoptera; Formicidae
Exons: 3
Source: RefSeq, a predicted model, not a curated record